AUUCGGGGAGGUAGUGACAAGAAAUAAUAACUCGGGUAGUUCUACUAUUACGGGAUUAAAAUGAGAACAAUUUAAAAAUCUUAGCGAGGAUCAAAAUGAGGGCAAGUCUGGUGCCAGCAGCCGCGGUAAUUCCAGCUCAUUUAGUGUAUAUUAAAGUUGUUGCAGUUAAAAAGCUCGUAGUCGAUCAUCUAGUGCUGGCUGCUUCGGCUUCGGCUGCGGUACGCGAGUGCUAUCUGCUCGAGAACUUUAUCGGUCUUAACUGGUCGAUGAUGCUGAUCGGGCACUUUCCUGAGAAAAAAUUAGAGUGUUCAAAGCAGGCUAACGCCUUGAAUAUUACAGCUUGGAAUAAUAGAAUAAGACUGAAGUCUCUUUUGUUGGUUAUGAACUUUAGUAAUGGUUAAUAGGAACAGUCGGGGGUAUUAGUAUUUAAUUGUCAGAGGUGAAAUUCUAUGAUUUAUUAAAGACUAACUUAUGCGAAAGCAUUUGCCAAGGAUGUUUUCAAUUGAUCAAGAACGAAAGUUAGGGGAUCAAAGACGAUCAGAUACCGUCCUAGUCUUAACUAUAAACGAUUCCGACUAUGGAUCAGAAGGGUUUUCCAAUCCCUUUUGGCACAUUAUGAGAAAUCAAAGUCUUUGGGUUCUGGGGGAAGUAUGGACACAAGUCUGAAACUUAAAGGAAUUGACGGAAGGGCACACCAGGUGUGGAGCCUGCGGCUUAAUUUGACCCAACACGGGGAAACUUACUAGGGCAAGACUAAGGUUGGAUUGACAGAUUGAGAGCUCUUUCUUGAUUCUUAGGGUGGUGGUGCAUGGCCGUUCUUAGUUGGUGGAGUGAUUUGUCUGGUUAAUUCCGUUAACGAACGAGACCUCAACCUGCUAAACUAGGAGCCGGAUUAAACAUUCGGUUUCCUUCUUAGAGGGACAAAGUGUUCAAGCACUGGGAAGUGAGGCAAUAACAGGUCUGUGAUGCCCCUAGACGUCCUAGGCCGCACGCGCGCUACAAUGACACGUUCAACGAGUUUCUUCCUGGUCCUGACGGAUUCGGGUAAUCUUCAUAGUACGUGUCGUGCUUUGGGAUAGUCCUUUGCAAUUAUAGGACUUAAACUAGGAAUACCUAGUAUAGGUAAGUCAUCAGCUUGCCUAGAUUAUGUCCCUGCCCUUUGUACACACCGCCCGUCGCUCCUACCGAUUUUGAGUGAUUAGGUGAACCUUCUGGAUCAGAGUAGUCUUCAAGGCUGUUCUGAGAAGUUAAGUAAAUCAUUAUCACUUAGAGGAAGGAGAAGUCGUAACAAGGUUUCCGUAGGUGAACCUGCGGAAG
Molecule: ribosomal RNA, 1317 nt
Filed under: metagenome
Description: SSU rRNA
Rfam family: Eukaryotic small subunit ribosomal RNA
Source: RNAcentral